UUUCUUCCAUUCAUAGUGUUAUAGUCCACUGUCUUGGUUUACAUUUAGUUUUACUGUUAAAAAAAGCUAGUAAAUGGCUUGUUUUUAAUGUCUUGUCUUUUAUCACCUUGUUCCUCCAGUUUGACAUCUGUUUUGCUUUGUAUGCUGGCUGUUAAGUAGAAGUGGUGGUUGCAUUUACGUAAUGUUUUUCUGCUCAAAGCUUUUGUAAACUGCUUUGAAUGAUCUGCAUCUGUGAAUUUGACUGCUGACGAAGCCUUCAUCCAAAAAUCCAAUGAGACCACCACAGUGGGAAUCUACGUCCUUAAAUUUCAUGACGGAUCUCAGGACAUCGGGAUUGUCCUUAAAGGCCAGAACGUCUUGCAAG
Long non-coding RNA from Sinocyclocheilus anshuiensis, 364 nucleotides. RefSeq lists it as uncharacterized. The record is from RefSeq and is a predicted model, not a curated record. NCBI's taxonomy places the organism in Eukaryota, Metazoa, Chordata, Actinopteri, Cypriniformes, Cyprinidae. The transcript is spliced from 3 exons.